Non-coding RNA from Gossypium hirsutum (cotton), 106 nucleotides. The record is from Rfam. NCBI's taxonomy places the organism in Eukaryota, Viridiplantae, Streptophyta, Magnoliopsida, Malvales, Malvaceae.
AAUCCAUGAUGGGGGCACUUAUGUAUCAUUGAUUUGAAUCGUUCCCUUGUUUCGUACAAUGUUUCUCCUUCAAAUUGUUUAAAAUUUGCGAUGUCACGUCUGAGCU